GAAAUGCGAUAAUUAAUGUGAAUUGCAGAAUUCAGUGAAUCAUCGAGUCUUUGAACGCACAUUGCGCCCCCUGGUAUUCCGGGGGGCAUGCCUGUCCGAGCGUCAUUGCUGCCCUCAAGCACGGCUUGUGUGUUGGGCUUCCGUCCCUGGCAACGGGGACGGGCCCAAAAGGCAGUGGCGGCACCAUGUCUGGUCCUCGAGCGUAUGGGGCUUUGUCACCCGCUCCCGUAGGUCCAGCUGGCAGCUAGCCUCGCAACCAAUCUUUUUAACCAGGUUGACCUCGGAUCAGGUAGGGAUACUCGCUGAACUUAAGC
This 314-nucleotide unclassified non-coding RNA is filed under the name plant metagenome. RNAcentral describes it as "partial contains 5.8S ribosomal RNA, internal transcribed spacer 2, and large subunit ribosomal RNA". The stretch from base 1 to 105 matches the Rfam family "5.8S ribosomal RNA", at positions 50 to 154 of the family's 154-position model. The record is from RNAcentral.